Molecule: ribosomal RNA, 325 nt
Filed under: uncultured eukaryote
Lineage: Eukaryota
Description: partial 18S ribosomal RNA
Rfam family: Eukaryotic small subunit ribosomal RNA
Source: RNAcentral
CCCUUAGAUGUCCUGGGCCGCACGCGCGCUACACUGAUGCAUUCAACGAGUUUUACCUUGGCCGAGAGGCCUGGGCAAUCUUUUGAACGUGCAUCGUGAUAGGGAUAGAUUAUUGCAAUUUUUAAUCUUGAACGAGGAAUUCCUAGUAAACGCAGAUCAUCAAUCUGCAUUGAUUACGUCCCUGCCCUUUGUACACACCGCCCGUCGCACCUACCGAUUGAAUGGUCCGGUGAAGCCUCGGGAUUGUGAUGAGUUCCCUUUAUUGGGAGUUUGUUGCGAGAACUUGUCUAAACCUUAUCAUUUAGAGGAAGGUGAANUCGUANCA